CAUUUUCAUGUCCUUCCAAGUCUUCAAUUAGUUUCAUAUCUUCUUUAGAGUACCUAGGUUUAUUUUGCUCAAUUACCAGUUUACCGUCAGGAAUUAAGGACAUCACCUUAACUCUUUCUGUUUCUGCUUCCUGUUUAGCCUCACGAUCAGCCAAAUUAUUUCCAGUCUCUUGAUCAGAGUUACCUCUUUGAUGUCCUUUACAAUGUAUGAUAGCCACUUCAUUGGGUAAUUGUACAGUUUCUAACAAUCGUAGAAUUUCCGUUGCAUGUUUAACCUUUAUCUUCCCUGGGUAUUUAAAAGUCCUCAUUCUUUCCAGAUUGCUCCACAUGCAUGAACUACACCAAAGGCAUAUUUGGAAUCAGUUCAUAUGUUUAUCUGCUUGUUCUUUGCCAACUCCAAGGCUCUAGUCAGGGCUAUUAUUUCUGCCUUUUGUGCUGAGGUGUUAGAGGGUAAUGGUUUAGCUUCUAUUACCUUUGAAGUUGUAGUUAUGGCAUAUCCUGCUCUUCAUUUACCAUCUUUAACGAAGCUGCUGCCAUCAGUGAACUGGGAAUCUGCACCCUCCAGAGGCUCCUCCUUCAGAUCUGGUCGGCUCGAAUAUACUGUCUAUAAACACCAUAAUCAUGGAUCCAGAGUCGACACCAUUCUGUCAUUCCCAGAAACAUCCAGAGAUCUUUAACCGUGGAUGGUCAUGGUGUUUGAGAGAUUGCUUCUUUGCAAGCUGCUCCAAGUUCUGGUUGUCCUCCUGUUAUUUUGCAUCCUAAAUAAGAUACUUGAGUUUGAA
Pezoporus occidentalis (night parrot) is the source of this 781-nucleotide long non-coding RNA. RefSeq lists it as uncharacterized. The record is from RefSeq and is a predicted model, not a curated record. NCBI's taxonomy places the organism in Eukaryota, Metazoa, Chordata, Aves, Psittaciformes, Psittacidae. The transcript is spliced from 2 exons.